RNAcentral lists this ribosomal RNA (603 nucleotides) under Leucopodella sp. ZFMK XM137. RNAcentral describes it as "partial 28S large subunit ribosomal RNA". It matches the Rfam family "Eukaryotic large subunit ribosomal RNA", at positions 393 to 821 of the family's 3401-position model. Lineage: Eukaryota; Metazoa; Arthropoda; Insecta; Diptera; Syrphidae. The record is from RNAcentral.
GAGUACGUGAAACUGCUUAGAGGUUAAACCCGAUGAACCUGAAUAUCCGUUAUGGAAAAUUCAUCAUUAAUACUAUGUUAUUUUAUUAUUAUCAUAGAUAUAGUGUGCAAUUUUUCCAUAUAAGGACAUUGUAAUCUGUUAAUGUAAUAAAUAUUUAUUAAAAGAUCUAUUACUUGAGUUUAUUCAAAUUAAUUAUUUUCGGAUUUUUAACAUAGAAUAAUUGUUUUAGAUUUAAUAAAUCAUUGACAGAUUUAAUUAUAUAAAGUGCUUAAAUUUCUUUGAAAUUUUACAAUAUUAAAUAUAUCUACGAUUUAAUUAUUAUUGUAUGCAUUUUUAUGAUUAACAAUGCGAUAGAUUCAGGAUACCUUCGGGACCCGUCUUGAAACACGGACCAAGGAGUCUAACAUAUGUGCAAGUCAUUGGGUAUUUUAAAUGAAACCUAUUGGCAUAAUUAACUUAACUGUUUAAUUGGGAUUAGUUUAUAUUUUAUUAUGAAAUAUUAAUUCAAUCCCGGGGCGUUCUAUAUAGUUAUACAUAAUAAUAUUUAUAUUAUUUAUGCCUCUAACUAGAGCGUACCUUGAGCAUAUAUGCUGUGACCCGAAA